GCUAGCGCAUGUUCGGCUUGUUCAAUAAACGAUCCAAACACAAGCUACUCGUUAAAAUAAUAAGCUAAAAAAUUCAGCUCACGCGAAGAGUAAGUUAAAUUGCCAACCCUACUAUUAAGUGAAAAGUUGAAAAAAAAUUAAAAAAUUAAAAUCUUAAUCUAAUAAUUAAAUUUCUCAAAAUAUAGAUCUCUUUACACUUAGGUUGGCCUAAAAUCUAAAUAGUAAAAAUUUUGAAUAGGGCUCUUUUUGCAUUUAGCCCCCUGACAAAUUUUUAUUUUAAAAAUAGUCCUAUCAAAAUUUAAUUUGCAAAAAUGGUCCUGGGCCUGCCACGCAGGCGCCACGUCAGCACCACGCGGGCGGGGCCGGGGCCAGUGUGUUAAGUUGAACACGAUGAACCAUUCACUAUAUUCAAACACGGUGAAUGGUUCACCGUGUUUCAUAUUUGUAUUCCUUUUUUUUUUCGUUUUCAAAAAUCCAAAUCCGAACCUGAAAAUCAAAUUAAAAUCCAAACCUGACGGAUUUUAAAAAUUCAUACUCAUAUCCAUAUCUGACCAAAAACUCGAAACCCGAACCUGAACCCAGCAGAUUUUAAAAAUCUAUACCGUUGGAUAGAGAUCUAAGAAAUAAAAAUUAUUAAAUAUUUUAUAUAUUGUAUAAAUAAAUAAAAAUAAAUUAUGUAUAUAUAUAAUUUAUUCGGAUUUGGAUUCAAAUAAUAUUUCGGAUAUCCAUAUCCAUUGACAUUCCUACUCUCUAAUCAUCUUUUCAAUAUUUAUAUUACAAAAAAUACGUACUAGCUCUAAACAAGGUGAACCAUUCACCGUGUUUAGACACGGUGAAUGGUUCACCGGGUUUAACUUAACUACCGCCUCCAGCCCCGCCCGCGUGGCGCUGACGUGGCGCUUGUGUGGCAGGAGCAGGCCAUUUUUGCAAAUAUAAAUUUGCUAGGGUUAUUUUUAAAAAUAAUUUUUUUCAGGGAUCCAAUUGCAAAAAAAA
Molecule: long non-coding RNA, 993 nt
Filed under: Ananas comosus (pineapple)
Lineage: Eukaryota; Viridiplantae; Streptophyta; Magnoliopsida; Poales; Bromeliaceae
Description: long non-coding RNA (ACOM_LNC005392)
Source: RNAcentral